AAAUAUCAGGGCGAUGGAGUUCGCCUUAAAGUGCCACGGGGAAUACCCUUGUUGGCUGAUAACUCCUGUCCGUAU
RNAcentral lists this non-coding RNA (75 nucleotides) under Caldicellulosiruptor owensensis. RNAcentral describes it as "Fluoride sequence". It matches the Rfam family "Fluoride riboswitch aptamer (crcB RNA motif)". RNAcentral also lists the same sequence under 1 other name. The record is from RNAcentral. Lineage: Bacteria; Bacillati; Bacillota; Caldicellulosiruptorales; Caldicellulosiruptoraceae.